Hemibagrus wyckioides is the source of this 404-nucleotide long non-coding RNA. RefSeq lists it as uncharacterized. The record is from RefSeq and is a predicted model, not a curated record. The transcript is spliced from 3 exons. Lineage: Eukaryota; Metazoa; Chordata; Actinopteri; Siluriformes; Bagridae.
CUAUCUAUGCCAAUGUGGAUGAUGUGACUAUCUAUGCCAAUGAGAUGUGCAUGAUUGGAAAAGGCCAGUGUGACUGAUGAUACUGUCUACUCAGAGCUGAAGCACAACAUGGAGUGAGCCAUGUGUCUGUUCUGUUGAAGCUACAGUUAUCAACCAGAUAGAAGGAAAGUGUUUGGAAAAAUGAUGAAAAAUGUGUCAGUUAUAGAUAGAUAGAUAGAUAGAUAGAUAGAUAGAUAGAUAGAUAGAUAGAUAGAUAGAUAGAUAGAUAGAUAGAUAGAUAGAUAGAUAGAUAGAUAGAUAGAUAGAUAGAUAGAUAGAUAGAUAGAUAGAUAGAUAGAUAGAUAGAUAGAUAGAUAGAUAGAUAGAUAGAUAGAUGGAUUGAUGGAUAGAUAGAUAGAUAGAUA